UGGGUGGCCUGCUUUUAUUCCCUUAUCUGGCCUCACCUACAUUCUGCUGAUUGGUCCAUUUCACAAAGAGCUGAUUGGUCUGUUUUACAAAAUGCUAAUUGGUCCGUUUUGACAGAGUGCUGAUUGGUGCAUUUACAAACCUUUAGCUAGACACAGAGCGCUGAUUGGUGCAUUUACAAUCCUUUAGCUAGACAGAAAAGUUCUCCAAGUCCCCACCGGACCCAGAAGCACAACCGGCUGGCACUCAUCAAGAGAGUUUGCUGCACCUAGCCCAGGUGCGCCUGCAGUGCAGAGCGAGCUCCUCCCAGUCAAUCAAGAGGAAAAGAGAGGAAGCGAGAAAACCACGGAGACCUGCUAUGGUGGCCAACGAUCCCGCAAAGAGGGAACCGCGGUCCACUCACGGGAUUCAGCCUCCCGUCAAGCCCAGCAGGCGCAGGCCGCGCCCAGUGCGGGGCUUGCCCAGCCACUGAACCCGGUCCAGCCCCGGAGCGCCGCGCCUGCCUCUGUCUUCACACUUCCCCGCCAGCAGAGGGAGCCAGCUCCGGCCUUGGCGAGGCCCAGAGAGGGGCCUUCCUAACGCAGCGGCGGGCUGAGGGGCUCCUGGAGCGCCGCCAGAGCAGACACGGAGACCGAGGAGGCACCGAGAGCCAGCGAGGGCUGCUAGCACGUUGUCACCUCUCAAAGCCAUCAAUAUGA
This 696-nucleotide long non-coding RNA is filed under the name Macaca mulatta (Rhesus monkey). RNAcentral describes it as "lncRNA (ENSMMUG00000058188.1)". The record is from RNAcentral. Lineage: Eukaryota; Metazoa; Chordata; Mammalia; Primates; Cercopithecidae.